Molecule: long non-coding RNA, 1217 nt
Organism: Drosophila montana
Lineage: Eukaryota; Metazoa; Arthropoda; Insecta; Diptera; Drosophilidae
Exons: 3
Source: RefSeq, a predicted model, not a curated record
AUGUAUAACACUUAGAAUAGUUUAGUCAAGACGAAUUUAGAGCCAAGACUUGGGCUAAUGAAUGUGAAAAUUCGGGAUCUUGAAUAGAACCUAAAUAAGUUAACGCCGCAAGCAAUCUUUGGGUUAAUUGCACAGGUGGAAAUAAGAUUGAAAUUGUCUGCGAAGCAUAUUAAUUAUGAUCACAAGAACCAAUAUAUAAAUUGUAUAUAAAUAAUAUAACCAAUAUACCCAUUUUCUUGUCUGGACAGUUUUAAGAGUACAAUUACCAAUAGAUAAAAAGUGACCAAAUGGUAUAGCCAAUACUAUACCCGAUUCUGAAUACCCUACAUAAUCAUUGGCAUAACAACUUUGACACAUUGCCAACGACAUGGGAGAACGUUGAGAACACACAAUUUAUGGCGCUUAAAUUGCAGUCAUGCGCAUGAGCGGCAACGGCUAACAAGAUCAACAUCUCAACGUGGAGCGUAGCCCCCAACUCCGCCACCAAGCUAUAACCCGAACACCCUGCUCGAUACCAAGACCCCGCCUACCCCCCCCCCCCCUCCCUCCCUCCGACCAACAGCAGCCCCUUAACGCAAGCUAAUGCGAGUGCGGCUUUGGGCGGAUGUUUGGUGUCAAAACACGCAGCGCAUUUUCCCUGGAAUUUCAGAGCGUUACCCGCGGUCUGCGGAUCCUUACGCCUCAUCAUCGGCUCCGUUGUCGUCUCGCCGGUCUUCAACUCCAACUCCAACACCGGGCUGGUUAAUUUAUGUUAGCGACGUGUUCGCCAGUGAAAACAAACGGGUCGAUCGCGAAUGGAGACGAUCGAUCGAUGCUGGGCUAUAAAAAUAGUGUUCGAAACUCGUUGCUCGGUCGGGGCUGUUGUUGCUUUUAUCAAUUUGUGUUCAUUUCUAAGCACGAAUCGGCCAGCAUAGAUCAUAAAAUGCUUGCCCCCGGCCAUGGUCAAUGUAAGGAAACAACAAUAACAAUAACAACAACGACAGCAAAUGAAAAUUUACAUAAUUACCGCUGGCGGUGCCUUUAUGAGAGCCGCCCGAACGUGUCAAAAUGAAAUGUGUUGCAUGAUUAGCGCGUAAAUAACACGGCCAAGGCAUAAAUCUCAUCGAGUAGUCGACUCCCCAGCCAAGGAGCCGUCUCCGGGUAAGAUAAUCAAAUAAGUGUAGCGAUUAAUAAAGAUGAAGAUGCUAGCCGUGGCUGGACAGAGACAAACGCCAAGA